GACGUAGGGCGCAAGCGUUGUCCGGAAUUAUUGGGCGUAAAGAGCUCGUAGGCGGCUUGUCACGUCGGGUGUGAAAGCUCGGGGCUUAACCCCGGGUCUGCAUUCGAUACGGGCUGGCUGGAGUGUGGUAGGGGAGAUCGGAAUUCCUGGUGUAGCGGUGAAAUGCGCAGAUAUCAGGAGGAACACCGGUGGCGAAGGCGGAUCUCUGGGCCAUUACUGACGCUGAGGAGCGAAAGCGUGGGGAGCGAACAGG
Molecule: ribosomal RNA, 253 nt
Filed under: uncultured bacterium
Lineage: Bacteria
Description: partial 16S ribosomal RNA
Rfam family: Bacterial small subunit ribosomal RNA
Source: RNAcentral